This 435-nucleotide ribosomal RNA is filed under the name uncultured bacterium. RNAcentral describes it as "partial 16S ribosomal RNA". It matches the Rfam family "Bacterial small subunit ribosomal RNA", at positions 28 to 507 of the family's 1533-position model. The record is from RNAcentral.
GAUGAACGCUGGCGGUAUGCUUAACACAUGCAAGUCGAACGGACGCUUCGGAGUUAGUGGCGGACGGGUGAGGAACGCGUGGGAAGCUGGCGUUGGGUUCGGGACAACCACUGGAAACGGUGGCUAAUACAGGAUGUGCCGAGAGGAAAAAGAGUAAGUGCCUGAAGAUGAGCUCGCGUCUGAUUAGCUAGUUGGUGAGGUAAAGGCUCACCAAGGCAGCGAUCAGUAGCUGGUUUGAGAGGAUGACCAGCCACACUGGGUCUGAGACACAGCCGAGACUCCUACGGGAGGCUGCAGUGAGGCAUUUUCCGCAAUGGGCGAAUGCCUGACGGAGCAGUACCGCGUGUGGGAAGAAGGCUCUUGGGUUGUAAACCUCUUUUCUUAGGGAAGAACAAAAUGACGGUACCUAAGGAAUCAGCAUCGGCUAACUCCGUG